Nannospalax galili (Upper Galilee mountains blind mole rat) is the source of this 576-nucleotide long non-coding RNA. RefSeq lists it as uncharacterized. The record is from RefSeq and is a predicted model, not a curated record. NCBI's taxonomy places the organism in Eukaryota, Metazoa, Chordata, Mammalia, Rodentia, Spalacidae. The transcript has 2 exons.
AGGUCUCAGUGUCUCUUCUGCAUUGAGAAGUUGAAUGGGUAUAUUUCUGAAGCUUCUUUAGGCAAUGUUAGGUUUCUUUGAUCUCCAGGGAAAAGGAGAUUUCCUGUAUUCAUGUAUUCCACAUCAUUGGUGAAGACCACCACCAGGGGCAGAAGAGACCAUCCCCAGGAAUAGGUGUUCUAGCAUCCAUCCACCCAUGGGUGGAGAAAGGUAGAAUUGAGCACAUGGUCAGACUGCUCUUCAGAGAAGGCGGUAUUUAUGAGCCCAACACUGAGGAUGCUGCUGUUUCUGCUGCUUCUGGGGCCCAGCUCUGGGCUUGGUGCUCUCGUCUCUCAGAACCCCCGAAGAGCCAUCUGUAAGAGUGGAACCUCUAUGAAGAUUGAGUGUCACUUUGAGGGUGUUCAGGCAACUACUGUGGUUUGGUAUCAUCAAUCGGCACAAGAGACCUUCAAGCUGAUGGCAAUUUCUACUGUGAGCUCUAGUGUCAAAUAUGAACAAAAUUUUACUGAGGAGAAGUUUCCCAUCAACCACCCAAGCCUGAACUUUUCCUCUCUGACUGUGAUAACUGCAUAUCCU